UUUUGGAUAAGGGAGGGGGCCCUUACCCGGUAAAAAGGCCCGCCGGGUUUGGGUGGGUGGCGGGUUUUUUGGGGGGGUAUUAGGGUUUCGGCGAAGGGAGGUUGGGGGCAAAACAGGGUUGGGGAGGCCUUAGGAGGUUUGGGGCGGCCGGGGGGUACCAUGGCAGGGGCCGAGGGGUUAUUUCCUUGGCCGGAAGGCCUGGGUAAUCUUGUGAAACUUUGUCGUGCUGGGGAUAGAGCAUUGCAAUUAUUGCUCUUCAACGAGGAAUUCCUAGUAAGCGUGAGUCAUCAGCUCGCGUUGAUUACGUCCCUGCCGUACCUGCCAGUG
This 327-nucleotide ribosomal RNA is filed under the name uncultured Lepidostroma. RNAcentral describes it as "partial 18S ribosomal RNA". It matches the Rfam family "Eukaryotic small subunit ribosomal RNA", at positions 1322 to 1657 of the family's 1831-position model. The record is from RNAcentral. Lineage: Eukaryota; Fungi; Basidiomycota; Agaricomycetes; Lepidostromatales; Lepidostromataceae.